CGGACGGGUGAGUAACGCGUGAGAAUCUACCUUCAGGAUGGGGGCAACCGUUGGAAACGACGGCUAAUCCCCAAUAAGCCGCAAGGUGAAACGGGAUUCCGCCUGGAAAGAGGAGCUCGCGUCCGAUUAGUUAGUUGGUGAGGUAAGAGCUUACCAAGGCAGCGAUCGGUAGCUGGUCUGAGAGGAUGAGCAGCCACACUGGGACUGAGACACGGCCCAGACUCCUACGGGAGGCAGCAGUGGGGAAUUUUCCGCAAUGGGCGCAAGCCUGACGGAGCAACGCCGCGUGUGGGAAGAAGGCUCUUGGGCUGUCAACCACUUUUCUCAGGGAAGAAGCCCUGACGGUACCUGAGGAAUCAGCCUCGGCUAACUCCGUGCCAGCAGCCGCGGUAAUACGGAGGAGGCAAGCGUUAUCCGGAAUUAUUGGGCGUAAAGCGUCCGCAGGGGGCACAUCAAGUCUGCUGUUAAAGGCUGGAGCUUAACUCCGGUAGAGCAGUGGAAACUGGUGUGCUAGAGGGCGACAGGGGUAGAGGGAAUUCCCAGUGUAGCGGUGAAGUGCGUAGAGAUUGGGAAGAACACCGGUGGCGAAAGCGCUCUACUGGGUCGCACCUGACCCUUCAGGGAACGAAAGCUAAAGGUAGCGAAAGGGAUUAGAUACCCCUGUAGUC
This 668-nucleotide ribosomal RNA is filed under the name uncultured cyanobacterium. RNAcentral's name for it is "bacterial SSU rRNA". It matches the Rfam family "Bacterial small subunit ribosomal RNA", at positions 99 to 795 of the family's 1533-position model. Lineage: Bacteria; Bacillati; Cyanobacteriota. The record is from RNAcentral.